This 1022-nucleotide ribosomal RNA is filed under the name Poaceicola arundinis. RNAcentral's name for it is "SSU rRNA". It matches the Rfam family "Eukaryotic small subunit ribosomal RNA", at positions 71 to 1103 of the family's 1831-position model. Lineage: Eukaryota; Fungi; Ascomycota; Dothideomycetes; Pleosporales; Phaeosphaeriaceae. The record is from RNAcentral. RNAcentral also lists the same sequence under 1 other name.
GCAUUAUACCGUGAAACUGCGAAUGGCUCAUUAAAUCAGUUAUCGUUUAUUUGAUAGUACCUUACUACUUGGAUAACCGUGGUAAUUCUAGAGCUAAUACAUGCUAAAAACCCCAACUUCGGGAGGGGUGUAUUUAUUAGAUAAAAAACCAACGCCCUUCGGGGCUUCUUGGUGAUUCAUGAUAACUUUACGGAUCGCAUGGCCUUGCGCCGGCGACGGUUCAUUCAAAUUUCUGCCCUAUCAACUUUCGAUGGUAAGGUAUUGGCUUACCAUGGUUUCAACGGGUAACGGGGAAUUAGGGUUCGAUUCCGGAGAGGGAGCCUGAGAAACGGCUACCACAUCCAAGGAAGGCAGCAGGCGCGCAAAUUACCCAAUCCCGACACGGGGAGGUAGUGACAAUAAAUACUGAUACAGGGCUCUUUUGGGUCUUGUAAUUGGAAUGAGUACAAUUUAAACCUCUUAACGAGGAACAAUUGGAGGGCAAGUCUGGUGCCAGCAGCCGCGGUAAUUCCAGCUCCAAUAGCGUAUAUUAAAGUUGUUGCAGUUAAAAAGCUCGUAGUUGAAACUUGGGUCUGGCUGGCAGGUCCGCCUCACCGCGUGUACUUGUCCGGCCGGGCCUUCCUUCUGGAGAACCUCAUGCCCUUCACUGGGCGUGUUGGGGACCAGGACUUUUACUUUGAAAAAAUUAGAGUGUUCAAAGCAGGCCUUUGCUCGAAUACGUUAGCAUGGAAUAAUAGAAUAGGACGUGCGGUCCUAUUUUGUUGGUUUCUAGGACCGCCGUAAUGAUUAAUAGGGACAGUCGGGGGCAUCAGUAUUCAAUUGUCAGAGGUGAAAUUCUUGGAUUUAUUGAAGACUAACUACUGCGAAAGCAUUUGCCAAGGAUGUUUUCAUUAAUCAGUGAACGAAAGUUAGGGGAUCGAAGACGAUCAGAUACCGUCGUAGUCUUAACCGUAAACUAUGCCGACUAGGGAUCGGGCGAUGUUCUUUUUCUGACUCGCUCGGCACCUUACGAGAAAUCAAAG